Non-coding RNA from Camellia sinensis, 1062 nucleotides. Lineage: Eukaryota; Viridiplantae; Streptophyta; Magnoliopsida; Ericales; Theaceae. The record is from RefSeq and is a predicted model, not a curated record.
UUUCUAUCCACCCACAAAAACAUAUCAGAAUUUCAGUCCCAAGACAAAAACCGUUCAACUCCUUGAUUACAAUUUGUGCCCUAGGCUAUCAACACUUGUUUGCGAAGUAUAUCAGAGCCUUCGUUCAUCCUCCACCGCGGCGUGGCGUGUUGACGACGUCAAGCUACAGCGCCAUUGUGAUUUGAAGGCCGGUAGAAUUCCAAAACAAUCUUGUGUAACCCCCAUUUUUUUACAACCUUGCUUUUUGUUGAUAAGGAGUCAUGCCUCGUUCUUUUGGUGGUGGAGGAAAAUCUUCUUCAGCUUCUUCUGGUUCAAACAUUGUAAAACUUGCUGCAACUAUUUCGGGUUUAUCUUCUCUAAGCAAGAACUUGGCAAAUUUUCAUGUAAAGGAGCCACGUUCAUGUGAGAUUUUAGAAAAAGAAUAUGAAGAGUGCAUGAGCUGAACUCCAACCAGUUACGAUGCCCAACACUGUGAAAAAAUUCGCAGAAGGAUGACAUCUUGUCUUGAAAGUUUUGCUUUUUGGAGGGGGUUGUUUGUGGGAGUAGUACGUGUUGACGGAAUCAAAGCGUCGGGAAUCUCUCCAGAAAGAAGCAACUGCUGCAGGUUUUGCCUGUACUGAAGAUUACAAAAAUCAUAAAAGGGAUAACGACCCUAGAAAGUGCAGAAUAGCUUAUGAGAAGUACAAGAAGUGCCUUAGCGAGGAUGAAAAUAAUAGAUUUUGUCAAUUCUAUAUCAACAAUUGUCCCCAAUUUAAGUAGGCUCUCCUAAAUGUCGUGCUGCUGUUCUCCUUGCCACUACUUCGUGAAUGUCCCGAGCACACCGAAGUUUAUAUAUAAGUUAUGCCUCAGAUCAGAGACUAUUAUGUAUGGAUGGAGUAAUUAUCUAGUUAGAACAAUGCUUCAAUUUAAGUAAUUUUGCAAGUUAAAGUUUGUUGUCGUAUAUUUAUACAUACAUAUAUAUAUCAGAGAUGUUUGCAACCAAGUUAAUUCAUAUCUUGUUUGUAAAAUGCUUUGCAAUUUUUAAAAUAUUAAAAUAGCAGUGUUUUGCUUAGGCAGAUAAAA